This 1167-nucleotide unclassified non-coding RNA is filed under the name Hevea brasiliensis (rubber tree). The record is from RNAcentral. Lineage: Eukaryota; Viridiplantae; Streptophyta; Magnoliopsida; Malpighiales; Euphorbiaceae.
GGAAUGACGUGAGCUUCUUCUCUACAAAAGCUCACUUCUUUCUAUGGCCCUUUUACUGUUUUUCUGAUUCUUUUUCUUUCUUUCUCACAUUUUUGUUCCUGCUACGCCUUCUUUCCAGAUUAUAAGCUUCUUUUCAAUUGUUUAUUCUCCUUUUUAUUGCUCUUUAUUUUGCUUCUUUAACUAGUAAUUACUCACUACUUCCCUGAUUCUUCUUCUCACUCACUGUUGGCUAAUUCAAUCCAUUCUUUGCAGGCGGUUAUUGGCAUUAACCCGAUGGUAAAGGCUCGGAAAUUAGAAUCUUUCUUGUGGGUUUUUUGCCAUUUUCAUUUUCAUUUGCUUGUAUGUUCUGAAGUCUCCCUUAACUGAAGCAUAAUUUUGGGUUUAAAUUCUGUUUCUAAUGUUUUCAUUGUCUGCUAUGCAACUGGUUUUAUUGUACUUUAUUUGAAUUUCGCUUUCUGCUUUGGAAUUUAGGUGUGCAAUAAGUCAUUAGCUGAAUUUAAGUUUUCUUUAUUGAUUUAGCUUUCAUUGUGUCAAAUAAUAUUUUAAUUUAGUUAAAUUUUAUAUUUUUUUAAUUCCUUUUUGUGUUUUUAUGUGUUUACUUCAAGUUUUCAUAUGAAUUAGGUCUUUUUAAUGUUGAUGACGAUUGGUUGUGCUAUGGCUACUAACAGUUUUCUAACUACAAUCAAGUUUAUAUCAUUUGCAAUUUUAGGUUUAUCAUUACAUCAUUUAGCAAUAUUCGGUUUUACCAUUUUUAAUUCUAUAUUUUGUUAGCUAUGUCUUGAGCAGCAUUGUUGAAUGAAGUACUGACAUGUUAUGUAGUUUUACAGGCUUUACUUUUUCUUUUUCUGGGUUUUUUCUACCAAAUAUCAUAAUUCCAAAAGUAAACUGAAUAUAUGCUGAAUUGUAUGGCUAGUAGAUUUCUUCCCCUCCCCUCUUCCUCUUCCUCUCUCACCAUCUUCACCGAAUUUUACUUGUGUUUGGUUGCUGGAAAAUUGAGGAAGAAAAAGUGAAUAAUUUAAAAACAUCCUCCAUUUUCUUAUUUCCAAGCUUACAACAAACCACAGAGAGAUAGAGAAGCUCAAGUAAGAACUGUAUGUCCUCCAAAGGGUCAAAUAAUGAAAAUGAAGAAAGCAUACGUGUACUAGUCUGGAUAUUGGAAUAACUUUU